Gadus morhua (Atlantic cod) is the source of this 2723-nucleotide long non-coding RNA. Lineage: Eukaryota; Metazoa; Chordata; Actinopteri; Gadiformes; Gadidae. The record is from Ensembl.
UAUGUUUUCAGAAUGUAAAAUAGUCAUUGUGAAAUGCUUUUUGUUUUUGUUUUUUUCACAGAUGACCACAGUUGGAGACGAUGCCCUGCUAGAUGGGGGCUCGAAGCCUGUCCUUUCAAACACCGAAGGGGAUGAUGAUGCUACUCGUCCGAUAAUCACUAAACAGAUGACCACAGUUGGAGACGAUGCCCUGCUAGAUGGGGGCUCGAAGCCUGUCCUUUCAAACACCGAAGGGGAUGAUGUUGCUACUCGUCCGAUAAUCACUAAACAGGGAACAACUGGUCCCCCACAGGGAACAUCCUCACAUUGAGAGCCCUGAAAUUCCACCAACCAAGAAGCGAAGACAACGGCCGUUGGUUGAAAUGCCGGAAGAAGUCGGCGCUAUGAGGCCUUCCUCACAAGCAGAGUCUCUUCCUCACAUCGAGAGCCCUGAAAUGCCACCACCCAAGAAACGCAGACAACGGCCUUUGGUGGAAAUGCCGGAAGAAGUCGGCGCUAUGAGGCCUUCCUCCCAAGGUAAAGCUGCAAAGAAGAAAAAACCCUGGCAGCCGACAGAGGUCCAGGCAGUCGAGAGGCACAUGACUCGCUUCAUCACCUCUUGCAUUGUACCUGGGAAGAGUGAUUGUGAGAAAUUUUUAAGGGUUGAACCAGAAGCACUACAGAACCGGGAUUGGCAGAACCUUAAAUUCUACAUUCAUAACCGAAUUAAGUCCUACAAAAAGAAGUGGCAAUGAAAAUAGUUUAUGCAUUGCAUGUAUAAUGUAUAAUAUUAUACAUUAUACAUGUAUAAUAAUUUUUAAUUAUUAUACAUGUAUAUAUAUCCACGUAAUUUAAACAUGAGUCUGAAAGAAGUUUAAUUAUUAUAGAUUUAAAUUUCAGGUAGUCGUUCAGUACUAUCAUUUUGCUCAGAAAGGCCAAAAAGGGCAUAAUUUUAAAAGAAUAUGCUGACGUUUCUACCUUGAUUCUGUAUUUCUAGAUGCUUUGUAUCCAACAAAUCUUGUUGAAGGGCCAAUAAAAGCCCAAAAAUGAGUGAGACCUCAAUAAAAGUUUACUUUUGCAAUUUAAAUGUGUAAUUCAUGUCUUGGAAUUCAAGAGGUAGUUAGUCUUAGCAUUGUUGCAUAGUUUAAGGAGAUUGACUGAAACUGUAGUUGGGUGAUUAUGGUUGAUAUUCUAAGGCGGAAAUGACAUACUUGUGACUGAAAAUUGAAAAAGUAGAAAGCUUUGACUUGAAACUAUCCAGCUUCUAUCUUUCAAUCCUUCGUACUAGGUGAAUAAAUACCCGUUUACUACAUCCUUAAAUGUUAAUUUAAUUCUCACUCAUAUUCCUAGCAAUCUUAAUCUGCAAUGUUGAUUGAUUUUUAUCAAUCAUUAAUGUACUGUCUUAAUACUACUUGGUUUUAGAUUUACAAAUUCAGUAAUAUGGAUAGAGGUGUAAUUUUACAUUUCAAUGUAAUGUAUACUUGUUGCAAGGUCCCCACUAAUCGCAUAGGAAUUUGUGUGAAUUAUGCAAAAUAUAUGUAAAUGAAGUCCUCAUCAGCCAUGUUUACUGGUUUUUUAAAAGUCCCCAUAAAGCAUGGUCAAAUCACUACUUCAUCAUUUCAACAAUUUGAAGUUGUGUAUAAGCUUACACAGCAUUUGUGAGUAUACCAGAUUUUUUUCAUACCUGUAGAACCUUUAGAAAGGGUGGUCCCCGCAAGUGAUGCUCAGAACGUUGGUCCCCAUCCAACAUGAAAACCAGUAUGUGUGUGUGUGUGUGUGUGUGUGUGUGUGGUGUGUGUGUGGUGUGUGUGUGUGUGUGUGUUCGUGCCCGUGUUCAGAAUUAGACCUACGCUCUCUGUCCAUGGGGCUGAAACACCGUGUCGAAAUGAAGUGAAGCGUUGUCACUUUGCUCUCCAAUAUUCAUUGUGGACGUGAUAUGUAGGCCUAUGUUGUAUUUUGGAGAGAGAGAGAGAGAACGAGCGAGAACGAGAGCGCAAGCGAGGUAUAAAACUCUUUAUGUGUAGUAGCCCUAUUCGGCAUAUUGAACCGUCGGCCUAAUGCGCCUCCUUUUUGAAAAGUCGGACAAACUGACCUUCGGACCAAUGGGUUCCAUUUUCGGAACAUUGAACCGUCGGCAUAGUGGCAUGUCGAUCUAAUGGGAAAUGAGGUGUCGGAAUUACGGGCAGGCCCCCUUUUCCUCGAAGGAUCUGUGCUUGGAUUCGUAAUGCCGCUUAAUAUUCCCGCUUUUUAUCAGCGCCACGGUUUCAACACAUAAAAGACACAACAAAGGUUUUGUACUGCCUUGCGGGAGAAUGAACAAGUAUUGGUCAGUCCAUUCAUCUUUAAAAUGUCUGUUUUCGGGGUAAACUUUCCUUAUUUUCGAGCAAGCCAUUUUCUCAUUCCAAAUCACUCUUCCGGUAAACAAAAAAUUUGAUUGGCUAUUUUCUGAGUGACGCUAUUACGCACAUGCCGUGACAGACCGAGGGAGGGGGGGGAGUUCGGUGAGUGCAUGAUCUUCGCUCUGUGAAGAUCAUUGCUUUUUGCUGUUUUUAUGCUGCACUACAGACUAUUCUGCCUUACAAUUUGUAUUUCAGUAAGAAAUGAUUUUACUAACAUAAUCAUGCUUUGUAUAGUGAAAUAAUUUUUUUUAUUAUUUUUAUUAUUAUUUUAAAUUGUUCAUGGGUCCAGAUAGGACCGUCACUUGGUCCGGACCCGGGCCGCGGUCCGCCGUUUGGAGAUGCCUG